AUCAGGAGCUCUAUCUCUUGAGAGGUGCACCAUGGCUUGCCACAAUGUCACAACUGGUCCCUGGAGAGCUGCUGGUGGUGACGGGUUGCCUGUGCCCUCUCUGCGGCAAAACUCCACAAAUACUCCACUCACCAAGUUCCAGAGGGAGAGGAUCACCGGCCGUACUAAAGGAAGUGGCUCUAUGUAGGGAUGGAACAUGGCAACUGCACCA
Molecule: long non-coding RNA, 211 nt
Organism: Portunus trituberculatus (swimming crab)
Lineage: Eukaryota; Metazoa; Arthropoda; Malacostraca; Decapoda; Portunidae
Exons: 3
Source: RefSeq, a predicted model, not a curated record